Molecule: ribosomal RNA, 253 nt
Filed under: uncultured bacterium
Lineage: Bacteria
Description: partial 16S ribosomal RNA
Rfam family: Bacterial small subunit ribosomal RNA
Source: RNAcentral
UACGUAGGUGGCAAGCGUUGUCCGGAUUUAUUGGGUUUAAAGGGUGCGUAGGCGGCUUUGUAAGUCAGUGGUGAAAUAUGGCAGCUUAACUGUCAAGGUGCCAUUGAUACUGCGGAGCUUGAGUACAGAUGAGGUAGGCGGAAUUGACGGUGUAGCGGUGAAAUGCUUAGAUAUCGGAAGGAACAUCAGUGGCGAAAGCGACUUCCUGGACCAGUACCGACGUUCAGGCACGAAAGCGUGGGGAGCAAACAGG